CGAAUUUCCAAGAGGAAAGAAAAUUGAUACGAAAAAAAGUGCCAAAACGAAACGGAAUUUAUUUGGUGAACAAAGGAUAUUCGAGCAGAGAUCACAUUCAAUCGGAGUCAAUUCAUUUCCAGACACUACCUUGACUUUAUCCAUCACUUCGUAAAAUUGUACUCGGAGAAAGGAAGCGAUUUGGAAGAGCAGCAAUUGCAUUUGAAUGUUGGUCUCAACAAAAUUGCCGAAACAGUGGAGCAAGUUGAAGAGAUGCAAAAAUCAUUGGCUGUAAAAUCGCAAGAAUUGCAGGCCAAGAAUGAAAAUUGAAGAGAAGCGCAAGUUUGUUAUGAUUGCUAGUUGUUUCAAUCACUCAAAGUUGGACGAGUUAAACAAUGACGACAACGUUCAUGGUAUUAUCGUUCAAAUGCCAUUGGAUUGUGAGGAGAAGAUUUACUCUGAUUUGGUCACCGAUUACGUGAACCUCGAAAAAGAUGUUGAUGGAUUGCACACAUUGAACGAGGGCCGAACGGCAAUCAAAACCAAGAUUGGUUUCGUUCCAUGCACACCAAACGGAUGCAUCGAAUUGAUAAAACGCGCUGGCAUCACAAUUGCACGCGCCCAACAACCGAAAGACUAGGGGCAUAUGACUCUCGCGAAUGCUGCGAAUGCCACGCACUUAAUACGAAUACCUUGCGAAUGCGUCGUAUCAAAUACGAAUGGCUACGAAUGCUUGUGAUUGAUUUGCUUACAAAUGUCAAUUUAUAUUUUUUUUCGGUUAAAAAUGGUAAUUAAUAAUAAUGUUUGUUUUGUUUAUGUGUGAAUUUUUUUUCAAAUGAUCAAGUUUUUCAGGCAUCAAAUAAUGUUUUUCUUGGGUGGUAAUACUUGGCCUACUAUUUUUCGCAGUUUUCCCGUGAAACGAUCUUUGUUUGACAUGUUUCAGCGUUGAAUUGACAGCUGACACUGGCAUUCGUGUAGAUUCAUGCAUUCGCAACGCUCCCAUAUAAAAAAACGUUUUCGAAUACUCAUUAGCCCCUAGCCGAAAGAUAUUAAGAAAUUGAUGGCCAAUGAAAUUGGACUGCAAUCAAGUGAAGUGCACUUAUUUGGACCGAAAAAAGCGAAAAUUUCACUGAAAACACUUACUUGACUUCAAGACGGACCCGAUGGAAAAUAUGUCGUCGUUGCUGGAAUCACGCCAACACCAUUUGAAGCAUAAAAUUCACAUGGACCACGGCAUCACUAUCCAAUUCCAUCAAGAUCCAAUUUUUCUGGGCGAUCCAAAUGUUUCGAGAGGAUCGAUUUGUGCACUCGAUUUUUACAACUUUUGAAACUUAUGAAGGAAGGAUGGAGAGGGUCUCUAACAGAGAGAUUACGAAUUAUGGUGGGACUAUACUGCCAUCAAACUGGAUGAAUCAUUCGAAUCGAUAAUAGUGAUAAGGCAUCGUCACAAUGAAUAGAGAAACAAAAAAAAAAUCAUGAACAAAAACAAACACAAAAAAUAGAUUUAAAAUGGCAUUGCAUGCCUUGAAUUAAAUUAGCCAAAAAUUAAGUCAGGAACAAAAAUGUCGAAACAGUAAAAAAAAAGAACUAAGUCAUAAGCCACAUACUGCGUAUUUACAAAGAAAUCAAA
This is a long non-coding RNA of Sitodiplosis mosellana (orange wheat blossom midge), 1609 nucleotides long. RefSeq lists it as uncharacterized. NCBI's taxonomy places the organism in Eukaryota, Metazoa, Arthropoda, Insecta, Diptera, Cecidomyiidae. The transcript has 5 exons. The record is from RefSeq and is a predicted model, not a curated record.